GCCCUAGUAGCUCAGAGAAUUAGAGCAUCGGCCUUGUAAGCCGAACGUCGGAGGUUAAAGUCCCCCUUAGCGCU
This 74-nucleotide transfer RNA is filed under the name Allocyttus niger (black oreo). RNAcentral's name for it is "tRNA-Thr". It matches the Rfam family "tRNA". Rfam says of the family: Transfer RNA (tRNA) molecules are approximately 80 nucleotides in length. Their secondary structure includes four short double-helical elements and three loops (D, anti-codon, and T loops). Further hydrogen bonds mediate the characteristic L-shaped molecular structure. tRNAs have two regions of fundamental functional importance: the anti-codon, which is responsible for specific mRNA codon recognition, and the 3' end, to which the tRNAs corresponding amino acid is attached (by aminoacyl-tRNA synthetases). tRNAs cope with the degeneracy of the genetic code in two manners: having more than one tRNA (with a specific anti-codon) for a particular amino acid; and 'wobble' base-pairing, i.e. permitting non-standard base-pairing at the 3rd anti-codon position. The record is from RNAcentral. Lineage: Eukaryota; Metazoa; Chordata; Actinopteri; Zeiformes; Oreosomatidae.